UAACGGCGAGUGAAGCGGUAACAGCUCAAAUUUGAAAUCUGGCCUCACGGUCCGAGUUGUAAUUUGUAGAGGAUGCUUCGAGCAUGGUCUGGCCUAAGUUCCUUGGAACAGGACGUCAUAGAGGGUGAGAAUCCCGUAUGCGGCCAGGUGCCUACGCUCAUGUGAAGCUCCUUCGACGAGUCGAGUUGUUUGGGAAUGCAGCUCAAAAUGGGUGGUAAAUUUCAUCUAAAGCUAAAUAUUGGCCAGAGACCGAUAGCGCACAAGUAGAGUGAUCGAAAGAUGAAAAGCACUUUGGAAAGAGAGUUAAACAGUACGUGAAAUUGUUGAAAGGGAAGCGCUUGCAACCAGACUUGCGCGCGGCCGAUCAUCCGGUGUUCUCACCGGUGCACUCGGCCGUGCUCAGGCCAGCAUCGGUUUUGGCGGCUGGAUAAAGGCCCUAGGAAUGUAGCUCCUCUCGGGGAGUGUUAUAGCCUAGGGUGCAAUGCAGCCUGCUGGGACCGAGGACCGCGCUUCGGCUAGGAUGCUGGCGUAAUGGUUGUAAGCGGCCCGUCUUGAAACACGGACCAAGGAGUCUAACAUCUAUGCGAGUGUUUGGGUGUCAAACCCAUACGCGUAAUGAAAGUGAACGGAGGUGAGAACCCUUAAGGGUGCAUCAUCGACCGGUCCUGAAGUUUACGGAAGGAUCUGAGUAAGAGCAUAGCU
RNAcentral lists this ribosomal RNA (702 nucleotides) under Pseudogymnoascus sp. Its description in RNAcentral is "partial large subunit ribosomal RNA". It matches the Rfam family "Eukaryotic large subunit ribosomal RNA", at positions 84 to 807 of the family's 3401-position model. The record is from RNAcentral. Lineage: Eukaryota; Fungi; Ascomycota; Leotiomycetes; Thelebolales; Thelebolaceae.